RNAcentral lists this ribosomal RNA (303 nucleotides) under uncultured bacterium. RNAcentral describes it as "partial 16S ribosomal RNA". It matches the Rfam family "Bacterial small subunit ribosomal RNA", at positions 507 to 807 of the family's 1533-position model. The record is from RNAcentral.
AGCAGUCGCCGCGGGAAAACGAAGGGGGCUAGCGUUGCUCGGAAUUACUGGGCGUAAAGGGAGCGUAGGCGGACAUUUAAGUCAGGGGUGAAAUCCCAGAGCUCAACUCUGGAACUGCCUUUGAUACUGGGUGUCUUGAGUGUGAUAGAGGUAUGUGGAACUCCGAGUGUAGAGGUGAAAUUUGUAGAUAUUCGGAAGAACACCAGUGGCGAAGGCGACAUACUGGAUCAUUAUUGACGCUGAGGCUCGAAAGCGUGGGGAGCAAACAGGAUUAGAUACCCCUGUAGUCCCUGUCUCUUAUAC